UAAUUAGAAAAACGAAAUACAUUAUUAAUUUCCAAAAAAGUAACCUAUUAAAAUCAACAAAUUAGAUUUGAUAUCUAAAUUAUCAUAUUAAUUUUUUAUUAAUUAUUAUAGUUCACUUCUCAUCUUUAUAUGAUUCUAUUUUUGCGAAAAAUAAUAUCAUCAUUAUAAAAAAAUAAUUAGAGUUUUUUCGCAUAUGCCAUAAUUUGAAUUUUUGAAAACGAAUAUAAACUGUUCAAUACAUGAAAAUAUAUUAUAACGGGUGAAAAAUAGAUUUAAGAAAACUUUCUACUGAGUAACGGGUCAUAAUUUGAAAUAUUUAUAUUCAAUUUCAUACAUAUUAUAUUGAAAAUUUAUAAUCUAUAUACUAUAAUAAUUAAUAACAUAUUAGAUUUUUUUAUGUGUAUAAUAUGAUUCAAUUUUUAAUACAAGCUGGAAAAUCCUAUAAUUGACGGGUUUAGAUCGAUAUUAAUACAAGAUGGUAUACUACAGAUGAAACUCUUAAAUUAACAAUCAAACUACAAGUGUAUAAUCUUAAACACUAAACAAUAUAGAUAAUAUCAACAAAACAUAUACAACUCACAUUUUACUUUUAAUAUUUUAUAUACAAAAUCAAUUAAAUCUUAAAUUAAAUCUUAAUCACAUAAAAAUUAGCACAAAAAAAAAUAUUCAACAAUUAAAUUUUUAUCAAAUCUCUGUGUUAUAUAAGUUUUGAUACUAUAUUCGAAUAAAGUGUAAUAUAACUUUUCAGUUUUUAUUCUUUAACUAAUUUAAGCUAACUAAUAUAUUUGCUAAUCUUAUACCUAUCAAAACCGACUAUCGUUUCUUAUCUCUAUAGUAUUUUUGCAAGACUUUUUUGGUGGAUUUGGGUAAAAUUGCAUUCGGGUCAUAUGGUACAUUCCCCUAUUAAAUAAAAAUGGUAUACUCCUAUGUUAUUAGCUAAAAUGUUUAGAUUAUAAUUCAGAGUCAUAUCAUUAAUAAAAUUAAUAUUAAUAAAAUAAAUGGCUUUUUGGCAAGACGGAUUUGGAGUGACGGGUUUUUGAAUCAACAUUAAUAAAAAAGUAAAAUAUAAUUAAUACACCGUUUCAAUAUGGGUUAAAUCUUUAAUUUAUUAUUUUUUAAGACCACUAAUAUUAAACAUAUCAAAUCAUCUUAAUUUAGAAAA
This 1162-nucleotide small RNA is filed under the name Arabidopsis thaliana (thale cress). RNAcentral describes it as "ATSL026720". Lineage: Eukaryota; Viridiplantae; Streptophyta; Magnoliopsida; Brassicales; Brassicaceae. The record is from RNAcentral.